GUCUGGGUGGCUCAGUUGGUAGAGCGUCUGGCUUCGGCUCAGGUCCUGAUCUCACGGUUCGUGGGUUCGAGCCCCGCGUCGGGCU
Transfer RNA from Felis catus (domestic cat), 85 nucleotides. It matches the Rfam family "tRNA". From Rfam's summary of the family: Transfer RNA (tRNA) molecules are approximately 80 nucleotides in length. Their secondary structure includes four short double-helical elements and three loops (D, anti-codon, and T loops). Further hydrogen bonds mediate the characteristic L-shaped molecular structure. tRNAs have two regions of fundamental functional importance: the anti-codon, which is responsible for specific mRNA codon recognition, and the 3' end, to which the tRNAs corresponding amino acid is attached (by aminoacyl-tRNA synthetases). tRNAs cope with the degeneracy of the genetic code in two manners: having more than one tRNA (with a specific anti-codon) for a particular amino acid; and 'wobble' base-pairing, i.e. permitting non-standard base-pairing at the 3rd anti-codon position. The record is from Rfam. NCBI's taxonomy places the organism in Eukaryota, Metazoa, Chordata, Mammalia, Carnivora, Felidae.